This 458-nucleotide ribosomal RNA is filed under the name Veillonella parvula. RNAcentral describes it as "bacterial SSU rRNA". It matches the Rfam family "Bacterial small subunit ribosomal RNA", at positions 28 to 463 of the family's 1533-position model. The record is from RNAcentral. Lineage: Bacteria; Bacillati; Bacillota; Negativicutes; Veillonellales; Veillonellaceae.
GACGAACGCUGGCGGCGUGCUUAACACAUGCAAGUCGAACGAAGAGCGACGGAAGCUUGCUUCUAUCAAUCUUAGUGGCGAACGGGUGAGUAACGCGUAAUCAACCUGCCCUUCAGAGGGGGACAACAGUUGGAAACGACUGCUAAUACCGCAUACGAUCUAAUCUCGGCAUCGAGGAUAGAUGAAAGGUGGCCUCUACAUGUAAGCUAUCACUGAAGGAGGGGAUUGCGUCUGAUUAGCUAGUUGGAGGGGUAACGGCCCACCAAGGCGAUGAUCAGUAGCCGGUCUGAGAGGAUGAACGGCCACAUUGGGACUGAGACACGGCCCAGACUCCUACGGGAGGCAGCAGUGGGGAAUCUUCCGCAAUGGACGAAAGUCUGACGGAGCAACGCCGCGUGAGUGAUGACGGCCUUCGGGUUGCAAAGCUCUGUUAAUCGGGACGAAAGGCCUUCUUGCGA